UUUUAUCUUUUAAAAGACCUAGUAAUAGGUAUGCUUUAGGAGGGGCUUGCGCCAUAUUAGUUAGUUGGUAGGGUAAUGGCCUACCAAGACGAUGAUGUGUAGCUGGACUGAGAGGUUGAACAGCCACAUUGGGACUGAGACACGGCCCAAACUCCUACGGGAGGCAGCAGUAGGGAAUUUUCGGCAAUGGAGGAAACUCUGACCGAGCAACGCCGCGUGAAUGACGAAGUACUUCGGUAUGUAAAGUUCUUUUAUCAAGGAAGAAAAGCAAAUGGCGAACCAUUUGUUUGCCGGUACUUGAUGAAUAAGCCCCGGCUAAUUAUGUGCCAGCAGCCGCGGUAAGACAUAAGGGGCAAGUGUUAUCCGGAAUUAUUGGGCGUAAAGGGUGCGUAGGCGGUCUAGUAAGUCAGUGGUGUAAUGGCAACGCUUAACGUUGUCCGGCUAUUGAAACUGCUAAACUUGAGUUAGAUAGAGGCGAGUGGAAUUCCAUGUGUAGCGGUAAAAUGCGUAAAUAUAUGGAGGAACACCAGAGGCGUAGGCGGCUCGCUGGGUCUUAACUGACGCUGAGGCACGAAAGCGUGGGGAGCAAACAGGAUUAGAUACCCUGGUAGUCCACGCCGUAAACGAUGAGUACUAAGUGUCGGGUUAAACCGGUACUGAAGUUAACACAUUAAGUACUCCGCCUGAGUAGUACGUACGCAAGUAUGAAACUUAAAGGAAUUGACGGGACUCCGCACAAGCGGUGGAUCAUGUUGUUUAAUUCGAAGAUACCCGAAAAACCUUACCAGGUCUUGACAUGUUUUUGCAAAAUGAUAGUAAUAUCGUGGAGGUUACCAGAAACACAGGUGGUGCAUGGUUGUCGUCAGCUCGUGUCGUGAGAUGUUAGGUUAAGUCCUAAAACGAGCGAAACCCUUAUCGUUAGUUGCCAGCACGUUAUGGUGGGGACUUUAACGAGACUGCCAAUGAUAAAUUGGAGGAAGGUGAGGAUCACGUCAAAUCAGCAUGCCCCUUAUGACCUGGGCUACAAACGUGAUACAAUGGCUGUUACAAAGGGUAGCUGAAACGCAAGUUCUUGGCCAAUCCCCAAAAACAGUCCCAGUCCGGAUUGAAGUCUGCAACUCGACUUCAUGAAGUUGGAAUCGCUAGUAAUCGCGA
Molecule: ribosomal RNA, 1155 nt
Filed under: Sesame phyllody phytoplasma
Lineage: Bacteria; Bacillati; Mycoplasmatota; Mollicutes; Acholeplasmatales; Acholeplasmataceae
Description: bacterial SSU rRNA
Rfam family: Bacterial small subunit ribosomal RNA
Source: RNAcentral